UCCCUCUCAGGGUCACACCUGGAGAGUUUCCAGUACUCUACCAGUCUCGACCUCGGGAGAGAGAGUCAAGCAGAAGCAUACCCAUUCCAUUUCUAGCUUGGGGAAUGGCUAGGAAGUGGAAGGCAAUCUGCUACAAGU
Tachyglossus aculeatus (Australian echidna) is the source of this 138-nucleotide small nucleolar RNA. NCBI's taxonomy places the organism in Eukaryota, Metazoa, Chordata, Mammalia, Monotremata, Tachyglossidae. The record is from RefSeq and is a predicted model, not a curated record.